This 579-nucleotide ribosomal RNA is filed under the name Triticum aestivum (bread wheat). Its description in RNAcentral is "partial small subunit ribosomal RNA". The record is from RNAcentral. Lineage: Eukaryota; Viridiplantae; Streptophyta; Magnoliopsida; Poales; Poaceae.
AUGUUCUUGCUCAGCAUCUACCCCGAAUGGCAAGAGAAGCUCAGGGAGGAAGUGCUGAGAGAAUGCAGGGAUGAUGAUGGCGAUGCCCCCUAUAGCAAUAACAUCCAAGUCCUUGGCAAAUUCAAGCUACUUAGCAUGUUCCUUCUUGAGACAUUGAGGCUCUACAGUCCCGUGCCGUUCUUGCUGAGGAAGACCGCGUCUGACACAACAUUAACAAACAUCAAAUUUCGAAAAGGAACCAUGAUAACAAUUCCGGUCAUGAUGUUGCACCGGAGCAAGGAGAUUUGGGGCCUCGACGCCGACGAGUUCAACCCCAUGAGGUUUGAGAACGGUGUCUUGGGGGCUACCAACAACACGCUUGCAAUGUUGGCCUUCUCAUGCGGGCCACGUGGGUGCCCAGGGAGGAACUAUUCCAUGAUCGAGGUGCAGACUGUGAUGAUGAUGAUCCUGAGAAGAUUCUCCUUCUCCCUCUCUUCCCAGUAUGUUCACAUGCCCAGGAACUUCAUCUCACUUGCACCUAGGUAUGGCCUUCCCCUAAUCGUGAGGAAUCUGCUGGAUGGAGAAAAAAGUGAUAUUUAA